This 254-nucleotide long non-coding RNA is filed under the name Homo sapiens (human). RNAcentral describes it as "HSALNT0235354". The record is from RNAcentral. Lineage: Eukaryota; Metazoa; Chordata; Mammalia; Primates; Hominidae.
AUCAUCAUCACCAUCCUCACCAUCACCAUCACCAUCAUCACAAUUGUGCCAUCUCACCAUUCUCACAACCAUCACCAUCAUGACCACCUUCAUUAUCAUCACCGUGACCACCAUUAUCACCACCAUCACCAUCAGCACCAUCAUCAGUGACAUAAUCUCUAAGUAUAAUCACCAAUUCUAAACACCGGUCUUUGAAAUCUAGUGUAUAUUUUACACUUACAGCACAUCUCAGUUUCAAGGAAGCUCCAUUUUCA